Molecule: non-coding RNA, 2763 nt
Organism: Anas platyrhynchos (mallard)
Lineage: Eukaryota; Metazoa; Chordata; Aves; Anseriformes; Anatidae
Source: RefSeq, a predicted model, not a curated record
CACCACCUCGCUGCUCCCUGACCACAGACAGUGGCAGGGCCUGGGGGAAGCACCCGUGGUGCUGCUGCCGUGACCCCACGGGGCGCUCGCCUCUCCCCAGGCCCUCACAAGGCACUGCGGUUCCUCCCAGAGGCGCGGUCCCUUCUCGCCUGGCCCAGGAUGUGGCCUCUGCAGGCUCAGCCACCCCCUGGCCCUACAGAAGCACCCCGCUGAGGGCAGUGGGGGUGGCGGUGGCGGGGGGAGCAUCCUGCUGUGCCCUUCCUGCCUUAUAUCCUGGGUCACCUCCACGGGAGCCGAGCGAGCAGCAGCAGCCCCCUCCCAGGAAUAACAACAUCCUUCGAGUCAAAUGGUUUUUUUAUUGCAGGGCUUGAAAGCCACUUAAACCAUGAGCCCCGCGUCGGGGUCCCACACGGAGCCUCUUAGCAGGGGGCACGCAGCAUUUGGCUGACACCAGCAAACAGCAGCCGGCACCUGCUGGCCCCCGCUGCGUGGGGCCGUGCUGCUGAGCCCAACACCUCCUGCCUGGCUCUGGCAGGAGCCUCAGCAGCGCUGCCAGCCCCUCUGAGCCCCCUCCUCAGCCCCCAGGUGUGCAGGGCGCAGGUGUCUUCAUCUACCUGCAUCUCGCCCUGGGGAGUGAGGGGGCAGCGCUGAAUUUAAACACCCAGGAGAAGGCAGAGAGGAGGAUGAGGGAUUUUCCUCGAAGCGUGGGGAGGGGAUGAUUUGCUGCACUUUUCCCCUCUGCCCUGGGUGGUGCGUGUGCCCCAAAGCCCCCCUGCGGGCUGCGUGGGCUCCGGCAGCGCUCAGAGGUAGGGUUUUGGUGUGGCGGUACAGGGGGUGCCUGGUCCUGCCUGUUUCUCCAGGGCUCAGUUCUCGGUUCCCCCAGCUGCGAGGUGCAGGCGUGCUCCUGGCCAGGCUCCCAGCCGCUCCCUCCAGGUGUACAGCUCCAGCAUUCCUGCCCGGACAGUGCCCCGCUCAGGUGAGUGCAACGGGUGGAUUCAGUUUCCAUCCCCUGCAGUUCUUUGGGGGCAUGCUGAGAUUUUCUUCUUCCUCUCUGAUUUUUACUGAAGAGGGAAAAAUUUGGUGCCUCUGUAAAGGAGAGUCAGAGAGAGUAGCGUUCAGCCACACAGCUCGGCACAGAGCAGGGCUCACUUUUGGUUUCUUUCCCUCGUGUUGGAAAAUGAGACCGUGCAGGAGAACUGCAGCAGCGCUUUGCAGGAGAAGCCUCCUGCCCCCUGGCACUGCUGCUCCUCCAGCUCUGAUCCGGGGGCCUCGCAAAGCACCGGGAGCUCUGUUACACCCUCACCGGCCGUGCUGAGGGGAGAGCUGCGUGGAAAUGCUGAUACAGAGCAGAAGGGGGUGACCAGGCCUGAUCUCUGUUAUGCUGUGGGGUUCAUCCCUGUGCAGGCUCUGUUCUCACUGGGCAGCCUCUGCGCUCCCACAGCCUGGUUUUAGCUCUAAUUUACCACCUCCAAGGGGCUCUGUGGAGAGCGAGCUUGUCCAGAGCAGCUCAGCCCCCAGCCAGCACAAGGCACAGGGGUGAUUUGAAAAUUGUGGGUGAGAACAGCAGACCAGUACAGCCCAUUUUUUAACCCAUCUGCCCCUCCCGAGGAGACUCCUGAUGCCGCGUGCUUUGUGCUGAGAGCAGCUCCGCACUGAGCAGUGUGAGGCUGCAUCUGAACUGCUGGGGAUGCUCACAAACGAGAUCUGCGUUAUGGUUAGAAAACAAACAAACAACAAAGCAGAUGCAGGAUAAAUGAUGUUAUGUUGCUAAAAGAAAUGAGCCAGACUGUCUUCCAGCCCUGCAGACGCUUUCUUUGCCCUCCCGAGGUGUGUGGGUAGAGGUACUGCCCCGCACAAGGGCAGCUGUCUCCUGCCACGCGUGGCCAGCUUGGCUGCUCUUUUGGGAAGGAAAGGAGGGCAGCCCCUGGCCCAAAGGCUGCCGGUCUCGCAUGGAGCCUGGCCCCAAGUCUCUCAUCCUUGGCUUCAUCCUGCCCGUAUGGCUGUUAAUGGUCCUGCCCUGCCUCCAUCCUCAGGGACUAAUUGCCUCACACUUGAGCAAAUGUGCUCGGUGUUUAAAAGGAGCCUAUCGAUCGGUGAGUGUUCCUGAAAGCCUCCCAGGGCCCCGUUUCCUUUGAAGUGUAAAAGCAUCUGUCUGUCUGUCUGUCUCUCUGCUUUGCCAGCAGCCUCCUGCUCCGUUUUGCAUCCCCAGCUACAGGGGUGCAUCCCGGGGACCUGCCCCCGGCCCCACACCGUGCUCGGGGCUCCCUGCUGCAGGAAGAUGGGGCUCGAAGACACAGGUACAAACCCCAAUCCAGGUGGGGUGCUGAGCUCAGGACCAAGCUCCUUCUGAAGGCCGAUUUCCAGUACCCCAAGCUUUGGGAAUGCCCUUGCUAUGCUCGGGGCAGAAGCUGAUCGUGCAUUCGUCUGCAGUGCUUAGAAAGGAGAAGAAAUGGCCCCAGCAUUUUCCCGUCGUGGUGCUCAGCUUCUCCUGCCAGCACCACUCAGAAAGGAAACAAGGAGGAGUGAGCAAGGCUGCGUGGAGCUGGAGAGCUGCUGAAUGGCCUGGAGGGGCCCCAAACAUCCACACUUCAGGCAGAUGCACCUCUCGCACCCUGGGACUCCUCACCCCAGAGCAACCAGAGAAGGCGAGGAGGAGCAGCGCAUGUGGAAGCUGUGCUGUGGCCGUUCCCUCACACACUGGAGACUUGGGCUUGGCAAUUUGCUGGCUGAGGAGGGAGCUGCAUCCACGCCUCCUGCACUCUG